GGCGAGUGUCGCCCGUGCCCGCCGUGGCUGCCCGGGGCCUCGUCCCGGGCGGCGGGGUGGGCUCUCCCCUCCCGGCCCUCACGUUUCAGUCUCCCUCUCUCUUCACUUGAGCCCUUUCUGUGGACGGAGGCCUGCUUGCCCUUUCCAGAAGCAAUAUGUAUCUGGAAGAGCAUACUGCCCUCAGAAUCUUGUCACCUCUGUCACCAACCCAUGGAACUUCUUCAUUUCAGCUCUUCAAUUCUUUUUUUUUUUUUUUUUUUGGUGAGGAGGACUAGCCCUGAGCUAACAUCCGAUGCCAAUCCUCCCCUUUUUUCUUGAGGAACAUUGGCCCUGGGCUAACAUCCGUGCCCAUCUUCCUCUACUUUAUAUGGGACGCUGCCACAGCAUGGCUUAACAAGUGGUGUGUCCCUGCGCGCCCGGGAUCCAAACCUGCCACCCCCAGGCUGCUGCAGCGGAGCGCACGCUCUUAACAGCUGUGCCACCGGGCGGCCCCGCUUCAAUUCUUUUUAAGCCUAAAGAUUCUUCAAAGCCCAGCUCAACUGCCUUCUCUAAGAAGCCUUUGAAGAUGACUCCAGUUCAUGCUUCUCUCUUCCGUCCUGGAACACUCAGCACUUGCUCCAGCACCCAGAAGAGUGCCUAGCACGUGGUGGGCAUCUGAUAAACAUUUGCUGCAUGAAUGAACAAAAGAACUUUGGAACUACAGACAAACUCAAAAACAGUACAUCUGUGGAGGCAUCCCAGUGCCAGAGGGAUCCAUCUUCAGAACAAGUAAAAAGAUGAUCGGGAUUGGAUGGGUGGAAAUGAACUUCCCACACUACAAGAUAAAAACCAAGAAGCUUAUUCCUGUGCAGAUUAGUUGAACAAACAUUAAAACUCUGUCUCUAGGCAUCGUCUUCCAUUAACAUCCAUCAUACACCUUCGAACUUCAUGUCUGUGAUAAAAAUCAAAGGCUUCAGAAUUAAAGAAAAAACAUAAUAUAACUCUCCAAAUGGCUGUAACAUGUAGAUAGGAUAAAGAAGCCAAGUAAAUCUACUUGUGUAUUGGGCCAGCAAAUGAAUGAAAAUAAACGCUAAUCAUUUGACCUACUA
Molecule: long non-coding RNA, 1088 nt
Organism: Diceros bicornis minor
Lineage: Eukaryota; Metazoa; Chordata; Mammalia; Perissodactyla; Rhinocerotidae
Exons: 5
Source: RefSeq, a predicted model, not a curated record